RNAcentral lists this ribosomal RNA (229 nucleotides) under uncultured bacterium. RNAcentral describes it as "partial 16S ribosomal RNA". It matches the Rfam family "Bacterial small subunit ribosomal RNA", at positions 568 to 796 of the family's 1533-position model. The record is from RNAcentral.
UGCGUAGGCGGAAAAUUAAGUCAGUAGUGAAAUCCUGCAGCUUAACUGUAGAACUGUUAUUGAAACUGGUUUUCUUGAAUAUAGUUGAGGUAGGCGGAAUGUGUAAUGUAGCGGUGAAAUGCUUAGAUAUUACACAGAACACCGAUUGCGAAGGCAGCUUACUAAGCUAUGAUUGACGCUGAGGUACGAAAGCGUGGGGAGCGAACAGGAUUAGAUACCCUGGUAGUCC